RNAcentral lists this transfer RNA (72 nucleotides) under Phrynosoma platyrhinos (Desert horned lizard). Its description in RNAcentral is "tRNA-OTHER". The record is from RNAcentral. Lineage: Eukaryota; Metazoa; Chordata; Lepidosauria; Squamata; Phrynosomatidae.
GCCAGUGUGACAUAGUGGUUUGAGUGUUGAAGUGUGAUUCUUGAGACCAGGGUUCGAUUCCCUGCUCGGCCA